Molecule: ribosomal RNA, 3032 nt
Filed under: Nocardia cyriacigeorgica
Lineage: Bacteria; Bacillati; Actinomycetota; Actinomycetes; Mycobacteriales; Nocardiaceae
Description: partial 23S ribosomal RNA
Rfam family: Bacterial large subunit ribosomal RNA
Source: RNAcentral
UAGUAAGUGUUUAAGAGCGUACGGUGGAUGCCUUGGCACCAGGAGCCGAUGAAGGACGUAGGAGGCUGCGAUAAGCCUCGGGGAGCUGUCAACCGAGCUGAGAUCCGAGGAUGUCCGAAUGGGGAAACCCAGCACGAGUGAUGUCGUGUUACCCGCGCCUGAAUGUAUAGGGCGUGUGGAGGGAACGUGGGGAAGUGAAACAUCUCAGUACCCACAGGAAGAGAAAACAAUAGUGAUUCCGUGAGUAGUGGCGAGCGAAAGCGGAAGAGGCUAAACCGUGUAGAUGUGAUAGCCGGCAGGCGUUGUCUAUGCGGGGUUGUGGGAUUGUUCUUCUCAGUUCUGCCGAGCUGGGCGUGAGUCAGAAACCGUUGUGUUAGCCGAAGUGGUCUGGGACGGCCUGUCGUAGAGGGUGAGAAUCCCGUAGGUGAAAACGCAACGGCUCAUGUGAGCAACUCCCGAGUAGCAGCGGGCCCGUGAAAUCUGCUGUGAAUCUGCCGGGACCACCCGGUAAGCCUGAAUACUCCCUGGUGACCGAUAGCGGACUAGUACCGUGAGGGAAAGGUGAAAAGUACCCCGGGAGGGGAGUGAAAUAGUACCUGAAACCGUGCGCUUACAAUCCGUCAGAGCCUGCGCCACUUCGGUGGGUGGGUGAUGGCGUGCCUUUUGAAGAAUGAGCCUGCGAGUUAGUGGCAUGUGGCGAGGUUAACCCGUGGUGGGGUAGCCGUAGCGAAAGCGAGUCCGAAUAGGGCGCCCAGAGUCGCAUGUUCUAGACCCGAAGCGGAGUGAUCUACCCAUGGCCAGGGUGAAGCAGCUGUAAGAGGUUGUGGAGGCCCGAACCCACUUAGGUUGAAAACUGAGGGGAUGAGCUGUGGGUAGGGGUGAAAGGCCAAUCAAACUCCGUGAUAGCUGGUUCUCCCCGAAAUGCAUUUAGGUGCAGCGUCACGUGUUUCACGCCGGAGGUAGAGCUACUGGAUGGCCUAGGGGGCCCACAAGCUUACCGAAGUCAGCCAAACUCCGAAUGCCGGUGUGUGAGAGCGUGGCAGUGAGACUGCGGGGGAUAAGCUUCGUAGUCGAGAGGGAAACAGCCCAGAUCGCCGGCUAAGGCCCCUAAGCGUGUACUAAGUGGAAAAGGAUGUGGAGUCGCGAAGACAACCAGGAGGUUGGCUUAGAAGCAGCCACCCUUGAAAGAGUGCGUAAUAGCUCACUGGUCAAGUGAUUCUGCGCCGACAAUGUAGCGGGGCUCAAGUACACCGCCGAAGCCGCGGCAUUCACACAAUACAUCCGCAUCCGACUACGGUUGGGUGUGCAGUGGUGUGGAUGGGUAGGGGAGCGUCGUACAGCCAGGGAAGCAGCGGGGUGACCUAGUUGUGGAGGCUGUGCGAGUGAGAAUGCAGGCAUGAGUAGCGAAAGACGAGUGAGAAACUCGUCCGCCGAAUGACCAAGGGUUCCUGGGCCAGGUUAAUCCGCCCAGGGUGAGUCGGGACCUAAGGCGAGGCCGACAGGCGUAGUCGAUGGACAACGGGUUGAUAUUCCCGUACCCGUGUAUCCGCGCCCAUGCUGAAUCAGUUGUGCUAAGUGCCCAAAUCCCCCGGGAAGACCUUCGGGUCUCGAGUGGGGUGCUGCGCAUGACCCCGGCUGGUAGUAGGCAAGCGAUGGGGUGACGCAGGAAGGUAGCUGGGCCAGUCAGUGGUUGUACUGGUGUAAGCCUGUAGGGCGUUGUGUAGGCAAAUCCGCACAGCAUUGAGCCUGAGAGGUGAUGCGUAGCCGAUUGAGGCGAAUUCAGUGAUCCUAUGCUGCCGAGAAAAGCCUCUAGUGAGUUGGUACACGGCCCGUACCCCAAACCGACACAGGUGGUCAGGUAGAGAAUACCGAGGCGAUCGAGAGAACUGUGGUUAAGGAACUCGGCAAAAUGCCCCCGUAACUUCGGGAGAAGGGGGACCUGAUCUGGUGACGAGUCUUGCACUCUGAGCUGGGUUGGGUCGCAGAGACCAGAGAGAAGCGACUGUUUACUAAAAACACAGGUCCGUGCGAAGUCGUAAGACGAUGUAUACGGACUGACGCCUGCCCGGUGCCGGAAGGUUAAGAGGACCGGUUAGCGCCCUUCGGGGUGCGAAGCUGAGAAUUUAAGCCCCGGUAAACGGCGGUGGUAACUAUAACCAUCCUAAGGUAGCGAAAUUCCUUGUCGGGUAAGUUCCGACCUGCACGAAUGGCGUAACGACUUCUCUGCUGUCUCAACCACAGACUCGGCGAAAUUGCAUUACGAGUAAAGAUGCUCGUUACGCGCGGCAGGACGAAAAGACCCCGGGACCUUCACUAUAGCUUGGUAUUGGUGUUCGGUACGGUUUGUGUAGGAUAGGUGGGAGACUGUGAAGCAUGCACGCCAGUGUGUGUGGAGUCGUCGUUGAAAUACCACUCUGAUCGUAUUGGACCUCUAACCUCGGACCAUGAUCUGGUUCAGGGACAGUGCCUGGUGGGUAGUUUAACUGGGGCGGUUGCCUCCCAAAAUGUAACGGAGGCGCCCAAAGGUUCCCUCAGCCUGGUUGGCAAUCAGGUGUCGAGUGCAAGUGCACAAGGGAGCUUGACUGUGAGACAGACAUGUCGAGCAGGGACGAAAGUCGGGACUAGUGAUCCGGCACCGGCAUGUGGAAGCGGUGUCGCUCAACGGAUAAAAGGUACCCCGGGGAUAACAGGCUGAUCUUCCCCAAGAGUCCAUAUCGACGGGAUGGUUUGGCACCUCGAUGUCGGCUCGUCGCAUCCUGGGGCUGGAGUAGGUCCCAAGGGUUGGGCUGUUCGCCCAUUAAAGCGGCACGCGAGCUGGGUUUAGAACGUCGUGAGACAGUUCGGUCUCUAUCCGCCGCGCGCGUCAGAAACUUGAGGAAGGCUGUCCCUAGUACGAGAGGACCGGGACGGACGAACCUCUGGUGUGCCAGUUGUCCUGCCAAGGGCACUGCUGGUUGGCUACGUUCGGAAGGGAUAACCGCUGAAAGCAUCUAAGCGGGAAGCCUGUUCCAAGAUGAGGUUUCUCACCCACU